CCGACGGUGAGAGGUGAAGGCUGGGGGCGCAAACCGGAUUAGAUACCCGGGUAGUCCCAGCAGUAAACGAUGCCAGCUAUGUGUUGCUGGAACCAUGGGUUCAGCAGUGCCGAAGGGAAGCCGUGAAGCUGGCCACCUGGGAAGUACGGUCGCAAGGCUGAAACUUANAGGAAUUGGCGGGGGAGUACCACAACCGGUGGAGCCUGCGGUUUAAUUGGAUACAACGCCGGGAAUCUUACCGGAGGGGACAGCAGUAUGAAGGCCAGGCUAAAGACCUUGCCAGAUCAGCUGAGAGGAGGUGCAUGGCCGUCGCCAGUUCGUACCGUGAGGCAUCCUGUUUAGUCAGGCAACGAUCGAGACCCGCAGUCUUAUUUGCCAGCAUGCCCUUUGGGGUGUAUGGGUACAAUAAGACGACCGCCAGCGCUAAGCUGGAGGAAGGAGCGGGCUACGGUAGGUCAGCAUGCCCCGAAUCCUCCGGGAUACACGCGGGCUACAAUGGUCAGGACAAAAGGUACCGACCUCGAAAGAGUGAGGUAAUCCACAAACCUGAUCUCAGUCCGGAUCGAAGGCUGCAACUCGCCUUCGUGAAGAUGGAAUCGGUAGUAAUCGUGACUCAAAAUGUCACGGUGAAUAUGUCCCUGCUCCUUGCACACA
This 654-nucleotide ribosomal RNA is filed under the name uncultured archaeon. Its description in RNAcentral is "bacterial SSU rRNA". It matches the Rfam family "Archaeal small subunit ribosomal RNA", at positions 691 to 1345 of the family's 1478-position model. The record is from RNAcentral.